GUGAGGAAUAUUGGUCAAUGGGCGGGAGCCUGAACCAGCCAAGUCGCGUGAAGGAAGAAGGAUCUAUGGUUCGUAAACUUCUUUUGCAGGGGAAUAAAGUGCAGGACGUGUCCUGUUUUGUAUGUACCCUGAGAAUAAGGAUCGGCUAACUCCGUGCCAGCAGCCGCGGUAAUACGGAGGAUCCGAGCGUUAUCCGGAUUUAUUGGGUUUAAAGGGUGCGUAGGUGGUUUGAUAAGUCAGCGGUGAAAGUUUGCAGCUUAACUGUAAAAAUGCCGUUGAAACUGUCGGACUUGAGUGUAAAUGAGGUAGGCGGAAUGCGUGGUGUAGCGAUGAAAUGCAUAGAUAUCACGCAGAACUCCGAUUGCGAAGGCAGCUUACUAAGCUACAACUGACACUGAAGCACGAAAGCGUGGGGAUCAAACAGGAUUAGAUACCCUUGUAGUCC
RNAcentral lists this ribosomal RNA (445 nucleotides) under uncultured bacterium. RNAcentral's name for it is "partial 16S ribosomal RNA". It matches the Rfam family "Bacterial small subunit ribosomal RNA", at positions 354 to 796 of the family's 1533-position model. The record is from RNAcentral.